AGUCGAACGUGAAGCCACCUUCGGGUGGUGGAAAGUGGCAGACGGGUGAGUAACGCGUGGGAACGUGCCCUUCGGUUCGGGAUAACCCAGGGAAACUUGGGCUAACACCGGAUACGCCCUUCGGGGGAAAAAUUUAUUGCCGAAGGAUCGGCCCGCGUCGGAUUAGCUUGUUGGUGGGGUAAAAGCCUACCAAGGCGACGAUCCGUAGCUGGUCUGAGAGGAUGAUCAGCCACACUGGGACUGAGACACGGCCCAGACUCCUACGGGAGGCAGCAGUGGGGAAUAUUGGACAAUGGGCGCAAGCCUGAUCCAGCCAUGCCGCGUGGGUGAAGAAGGCCUUAGGGUUGUAAAUCCCUUUCAGCGGGGAAGAUAAUGACGGUACCAUCAGAGGAAGCUCCGGCUAACUCCGUGCCAGCAGCCGCGGUAACACGGGGGGAGCAAGCGUUGUUCGGAAUCACUGGGCGUAAAGCGCGCGUAGGCGGCCGAGUAAGUCGUAUGUGAAAGCCCGGGGCUCAACUCCGGUAUUGCAUGCGAUACUGCCCGGCUGGAGAAAGGUAGAGGCAAGUGGAAUUCCCGGUGUAGCGGUGGAAUGCGUAGAUAUCGGGAAGAACACCUG
This 616-nucleotide ribosomal RNA is filed under the name uncultured bacterium. RNAcentral describes it as "bacterial SSU rRNA". It matches the Rfam family "Bacterial small subunit ribosomal RNA", at positions 60 to 712 of the family's 1533-position model. The record is from RNAcentral.